This 440-nucleotide ribosomal RNA is filed under the name uncultured bacterium. RNAcentral's name for it is "partial 16S ribosomal RNA". It matches the Rfam family "Bacterial small subunit ribosomal RNA", at positions 338 to 795 of the family's 1533-position model. The record is from RNAcentral.
CCUACGGGAGGCAGCAGUAGGGAAUAUUGCUCAAUGGGGGAAACCCUGAAGCAGCAACGCCGCGUGGAGGAUGAAGGUUUUCGGAUUGUAAACUCCUUUUGUUAGAGAAGAUAAUGACGGUAUCUAACGAAUAAGCACCGGCUAACUCCGUGCCAGCAGCCGCGGUAAUACGGAGGGUGCAAGCGUUACUCGGAAUCACUGGGCGUAAAGGGCGCGUAGGCGGGAUAGCAAGUCAGAUGUGAAAUCCUAUGGCUUAACCAUAGAACUGCAUUUGAAACUGUUAUUCUAGAGUAUGGGAGAGGUAGGUGGAAUUCUUGGUGUAGCGGUGAAAUCCGUAGAGAUCAAGAGGAAUACUCAUUGCGAAGGCGACCUGCUAGAACAUAACUGACGCUGAUGCGCGAAAGCGUGGGGAGCAAACAGGAUUAGAUACCCUAGUAGUC